Molecule: long non-coding RNA, 1682 nt
Filed under: Anser cygnoides (Swan goose)
Lineage: Eukaryota; Metazoa; Chordata; Aves; Anseriformes; Anatidae
Description: lncRNA (ENSACDG00005014527.1)
Source: RNAcentral
GAAGAAAGCAUGGAUCACUACAGUCGUUAAACCCCUAAAAUAAGACAGCUGAAACAAAGUCAGCCUUUGAAAGAGCAAAGAGAAGAGCCCUUUGUCACCAACACGAGUAAUGCAGCAGACUUGUCAAGCCUUCUUGCAUUGCAAAUACCUGCCGUUUGGCUUGCCUUCAUUACCUGCUGCACAUUAGCGAACAGCCCAACACUGAAUGUUUGACUUUUUGAAUGGUCUGUUUUCCUGAGCACUGAUACGAUGCAAUAAAAUGAUUGAAAAAAUGGAACAAACUACCAUGUAGAGAAAGAGCAUAGCACACGUGUACCAAGCCCAAAGUGCCAGCUACAUACUUUGCCUGCAGCAUUUACUUUCUUCACACAGCACCAAGAAACCCAGGUGGGGAUGUCACCUUUUUCACAUAUGUUCUUUGCUGCAUAAAAAAUUGAUAAUCCUAGUGCUGGCAUUGAUGCAGAACUUUUAAGUAAAUACGGCAGAGUUGAUGUAAAUAGUCUUGGCAUGCUGAGCCCUACCCCGUUCCUAUUGCCAAAAUUGUUAUGUAGCAAGUAACCAAAGCAUGUAGAUGUUAAAAGGUAGCUAAAAUAGCAAAGCAUAAAUGUGUUCUUGAGAACUGGAAUUAAUACAUUUUGGUCUUGAAUACGUAUGCUGGGGAGACAUGAAAAACCAACAAGGGGCAGGCUCUUAUUCUUGAUGCCCUUCUCAAUAAAUUCUUGCAAUGGCAUUUAACAGGAGAUAACAGCAAGGGUUGCAUUCUUCUGCCAGCAAACUUUGUUUUUGCCAGUGGAACAGAUUGCAACUGACAGCCUGGUAUCUGGUGCAAAUAAAUAUUUAAAACAGAUACCAGUUUGGUCUCCUGGAUAUCAACAACUGCACGAAGGAUUUAACAGGUGGUUAAGAUGAGCAGCGUCUGAUCUCAUAUAAACUCCCUAAAGCUGUUCAGGUAAGUACUUACUAGACAUAUGUCUCACUGUCUACCGCCCUUUUCUAACUCUCUUCUUAUACAGCUACUGCAAAAUCUCUGUGUUUAUCUUCUCAGCAUUCCUGGAGGGUCACUCGGACACCAGCCCAUUAGAGCAAAACAGAGAUCAACCCCAGGACUGCAAAGUCCGACAUCUGAAUUAGCGGAGGACAUUUUUAGAGGAACUACACGCAAUAUUGGCUUUUCUCGGUUCUUUAAAAGCCACGAGGUUAAGCCCUCACGGCCUCUCCUGGCAUACUCCCACAGUGCAGCAGUGGCAGCUGACCCCAGGGGCCUGUGGCCCAGAGCUGGAGCAGGACCCUCUGCUGUGUAAGAAAGCAGAUCUAAGUUGGAUCAGAGAGGUAUUAAAUUAGGUGUGUUUGUAAUAUGAAGGACUGAAGAUUUAAAUAUUAUAGAAUCAUAGAAAAUCCCAAGUUAGAAGGGACUCACAAGGUAUGAAUUCCAGAAGGCAAAUACAAAGCACCAUAGGCUCUAUUGUCCUAGAUAUGCAGUAAUCUUGAAACAUACCACUUAAUCCGUCAUCAUCAAGGACAAAUUUGCUAGCAUAAACAUGGGAAAUUAUUGGAGCAACAAAAUGCUGGAACUGCUUUUGUUGUUGUUGUUAUCUCAAUUGCAUAAUAUGUCAAAAUAUUUUCUUUUCUUUUUCCCUUCCUUUACCAUUUGGGUCUGUUAUUUAACACUACAGGAAUGUUAA